UACGAAGGGGGCUAGCGUUGCUCGGAAUUACUUGGCGUAAAGCGCACGUAGGCGGCUUUCUAAGUCGGGGGUGAAAUCCUGGAGCUCAACUCCAGAACUGCCUUCGAUACUGGAAAGCUCGAGUCCGGGAGAGGUGAGUGGAACUGCGAGUGUAGAGGUGAAAUUCGUAGAUAUUCGCAAGAACACCAGUGGCGAAGGCGGCUCACUGGCCCGGUACUGACGCUGAGGUGCGAAAGCGUGGGGAGCAAACAGG
RNAcentral lists this ribosomal RNA (253 nucleotides) under uncultured bacterium. Its description in RNAcentral is "partial 16S ribosomal RNA". It matches the Rfam family "Bacterial small subunit ribosomal RNA", at positions 524 to 776 of the family's 1533-position model. The record is from RNAcentral.